This 252-nucleotide ribosomal RNA is filed under the name uncultured bacterium. RNAcentral's name for it is "partial 16S ribosomal RNA". It matches the Rfam family "Bacterial small subunit ribosomal RNA", at positions 524 to 776 of the family's 1533-position model. The record is from RNAcentral.
UACGUAGGGUGCGAGCGUUGUCCGGAAUUAUUGGGCGUAAAGAGCUUGUAGGCGGUUUGUCGCGUCUGCUGUGAAAAUCCGGGGCUCAACCCCGGACUUGCAGUGGGUACGGGCAGACUAGAGUGUGGUAGGGGAGACUGGAAUUCCUGGUGUAGCGGUGAAAUGCGCAGAUAUCAGGAGGAACACCGAUGGCGAAGGCAGGUCUCUGGGCCACUACUGACGCUGAGAAGCGAAAGCAUGGGAGCGAACAGG